GUCCACGCCGUAAACGAUGGACACUAGUUGUUGGAAUUAUUCAGUGACUAAGCGAAAGUGAUAAGUGUCCCACCUGGGGAGUACGAUCGCAAGAUUGAAACUCAAAGGAAUUGACGGGGGCCCGCACAAGCGGUGGAGCAUGUGGUUUAAUUCGAUGAUACGCGAGGAACCUUACCAGGGCUUAAAUGUAGUCUGACAGCUUUAGAGAUAGAGUUUUCUUCGGACAGAUUACAAGGUGCUGCAUGGUU
RNAcentral lists this ribosomal RNA (248 nucleotides) under uncultured bacterium. RNAcentral describes it as "partial 16S ribosomal RNA". It matches the Rfam family "Bacterial small subunit ribosomal RNA", at positions 793 to 1050 of the family's 1533-position model. The record is from RNAcentral.